Molecule: ribosomal RNA, 468 nt
Filed under: uncultured bacterium
Lineage: Bacteria
Description: bacterial SSU rRNA
Rfam family: Bacterial small subunit ribosomal RNA
Source: RNAcentral
GACGAACGCUGGCGGCGUGCCUAAUACAUGCAAGUCGAGCGGACGAAUCGAAAGCUUGCUUUUGAUUCGUUAGCGGCGGACGGGUGAGUAACACGUGGGCAACCCGCCCUGUAGACGGGGAUAACACCGAGAAAUCGGUGCUAAUACCGGAUAACACGAAAUGUCGCAUGACGUUUCGUUGAAAGACGGCGCAAGCUGUCGCUACAGGAUGGGCCCGCGGCGCAUUAGCUAGUUGGUGAGGUAACGGCUCACCAAGGCGACGAUGCGUAGCCGACCUGAGAGGGUGAUCGGCCACACUGGGACUGAGACACGGCCCAGACUCCUACGGGAGGCAGCAGUAGGGAAUCUUCCGCAAUGGACGAAAGUCUGACGGAGCAACGCCGCGUGAGCGAAGAAGGCCUUCGGGUCGUAAAGCUCUGUUGUUAGGGAAGAACAAGUAACGCAGUAACUGGCGUUACCGUGACGGUA